Molecule: ribosomal RNA, 405 nt
Filed under: uncultured Flavobacteriaceae bacterium
Lineage: Bacteria; Pseudomonadati; Bacteroidota; Flavobacteriia; Flavobacteriales; Flavobacteriaceae
Description: bacterial SSU rRNA
Rfam family: Bacterial small subunit ribosomal RNA
Source: RNAcentral
UUACCAAGACUUAAAUGGGAAUUGACAGGUCUAGAAAUAGACCUCCUUCGGGCAAUUCCAAGGUGCCGCAUGGUUGUCGUCAGCUCGUGCCGUGAGGUGUUAGGUUAAGUCCUGCAACGAGCGCAACCCCUGUCACUAGUUGCCAUCAUUCAGUUGGGGACUCUAGUGAGACUGCCUACGCAAGUAGAGAGGAAGGUGGGGAUGACGUCAAAUCAUCACGGCCCUUACGUCUUGGGCCACACACGUAAUACAAUGGCCGGUACAGAGGGCAGCUACCAGGUGACUGGAUGCAAAUCUCGAAAGCCGGUCUCAGUUCGGAUUGGAGUCUGCAACUCGACUCUAUGAAGCUGGAAUCGCUAGUAAUCGCGCAUCAGCCAUGGCGCGGUGAAUACGUUCCCGGGCCUU